This 463-nucleotide ribosomal RNA is filed under the name uncultured bacterium. RNAcentral's name for it is "bacterial SSU rRNA". It matches the Rfam family "Bacterial small subunit ribosomal RNA", at positions 330 to 790 of the family's 1533-position model. The record is from RNAcentral.
UCCAGACUCCUACGGGAGGCAGCAGCGAGGAAUAUUGGUCAAUGGGCGAGAGCCUGAACCAGCCAAGUCGCGUGAAGGAUGACGGCCCUACGGGUUGUAAACUUCUUUUGUCAGGGAGCAAUUGGGUCCACGCGUGGGCUUAGCGAGAGUACCUGAAGAAAAAGCAUCGGCUAACUCCGUGCCAGCAGCCGCGGUAAUACGGAGGAUGCGAGCGUUAUCCGGAUUUAUUGGGUUUAAAGGGUGCGUAGGCGGGAUGCCAAGUCAGCGGUCAAAUGUCGGGGCUCAACCCCGGCCUGCCGUUGAAACUGGCGGCCUCGAGUGGGCGAGAAGUAUGCGGAAUGCGUGGUGUAGCGGUGAAAUGCAUAGAUAUCACGCAGAACUCCGAUUGCGAAGGCAGCAUACCGGCGCCCUACUGACGCUGAGGCACGAAAGCGUGGGUAUCGAACAGGAUUAGAUACCCUUA